GAUCAUCCUCAUUCUUGUACUCCUAUUGGCAAACUCGGGAGCUUCAGGAGAGCACACAAGCCCAUCCCUCUCAGAUACUGGCUUAUGGCUGUGCCAGACAGCACCCAGGUGUGGGAACAGGAUCUACAACCCCUUGGAGCAGUGUUGUGUGGAUGACAACAUCCUACCGCUUAAUCAGACCCGCUAUUGUGGCUCCACUGACUGCCCCUACUGGCCCUGCUUUGAGCUCUGCUGUUCUGAAUCCUUUAGGGACCCGCAGCAGUUUGUUAUCAAGUUGAAAACUGAGGGGACAAAAUCCCAUUGCAGUUCAUCCCCCAUUUCUGGGAACUGUGAGAGCAGGAAGACAUCUGACAAAGAAAAGAUCCUCAAGAAAACUUUUUAUUAGGCAAAAAAGUGAUUUCCGGAUUUGAGUGCCUGGUUUCUUCUGAUAAACACCAGCUCCUGAAGGAUGGACACCUGUGGCACGGGGUGAAGUGACAUUAUGUGUGUGUCAUUAAAAUUCUCAUUUGAACAUAGUUUACUUAACAGCAUGUAUUGGAAUGUUCUAAAAUUAUCACAUGUCAAUGCAA
Molecule: non-coding RNA, 569 nt
Organism: Myodes glareolus (Bank vole)
Lineage: Eukaryota; Metazoa; Chordata; Mammalia; Rodentia; Cricetidae
Source: RefSeq, a predicted model, not a curated record